This 1958-nucleotide unclassified non-coding RNA is filed under the name Leishmania donovani. RNAcentral's name for it is "gene:LdHU3.35.4360(CDS-product:Peroxin_19)". The record is from RNAcentral. Lineage: Eukaryota; Euglenozoa; Kinetoplastea; Trypanosomatida; Trypanosomatidae.
CGACGCACAAACACACACACACAUACACAUAUACACAUGCAUAUAUAUAUAUAUGUGUGUGUAUGCGCAAGUCAAGGGCUGAUUCGCACAGUUGGAACUGAGUAGCAAAGAUCAUCAUCAUCUACUCUUCUCUCGCGGAUUCGCGAGGUAUAUCUAUACGAAAGUAUAUUCAUUUUGUGGGAGGGGAUGGACGAAAGCAAAUAACCACGCGUUUCUCUCAUCAUAGCAACAGAACGUCCGCACAUCCCCUGAAGCGACAAUCUAAGGACCACGCCCCCUUGAAGGGCGCCCCACUACCCGCUGUUGGUUUUAGCUGAAAAAUGUCCGAUGACGACCUCGACGCGCUUCUUGACGAGGCGAUGGAUAUGGUCGACGAGCAGGAGCGCAAGCAUGAGGAGGAGGUUCGCGUGCGGGACGCGAAAUUGGAGGACGAUCUGCAAAAGGCUCUGGAUGAGGCGUCGGGCACAGCCGGCGGCGACGCCGACAUGAUGAAGAUGCUCAUGUCCAUGCUCGGCGGCGACGGCGCUGACGACGCGUCUCUCGACAGCUUCAAGAAAAGUGUCAUGACAAUGGUUUCCUCGCUGGAGGGGGAGGAGAAUUUGGGCGAGGAGGACAAGGCGAACCUGCUACGAGUCAAGGAGCUGAUGCGCGUGAUGGAGGAGGAGGACAUCGACAAGGCAAACGAUUUACUGGAGCAGAUGAAGCAAGAAGGCAAACUUCCCGACUGCAAUAACGUCGGUGACGCGGAGAUUGAUGAAGCGUCGCGGCGGUGCAUGGAGAUGCUGCAACAGCUUUCCAGCGCCACGCAGGUAGGGCACUUGGACCCAGCCGCGACGCCGGGAGCGGCGUCGUCAUCCUCGGCAGCACCACCGGCGGCGCCGGCUGGCGACGGCGCCGAAAUUCCUUCCGAGGUGGGUCGUGCCACGGAGGCCAUGGCAUCGGCCUUGAUUUCCACGCUAGCUGACCCUCAGUUCGUGGAACCCAUAAAGCUUAUGCGAGACUCGUACGGACCCUACAUGGACGCUCACGGCAGCGAGCUGUCGCAUGAGGACUGUGAGCGCUACGAACGCCAACGGGCCAAGGCGCAAGAGAUCUGCGACUUACUGCAGAACCCCAUCUCUGGCGCAGAAGAUCCACGGCUUAUACAACUGCUGGAGCUCAUGAACAAGUACUCGGAGCUAGGUGAUCCGCCGCGCAAUCUAGUGAAAUACGCGCCGAAGAAUCGCAAGGGUGUCGAAGAGUGCCAAUGACACGACGGCGUACAUCAAGGGCAUCGUCGAAAGAAUAGGAAGAGGGGAGAAAGCAAAAAAAAAGAACAAAACUUGGGAUUGCCCUCCGUGUGCCGCGGCGCCCUUUUCCCCGGUCUGUGGCUGCUGCCUCCUGCGUCGGUGCACCACGCGUAUUUUCAGUGCUGAACGGCCAAGGUGAGAGGAGAUCGCGUGAGUAGACCCCGUCUCUUCUCCUUUCUCACGUUGGUUUCCGAAGCCCUGUGGGCGUGUUUUGGGGUUGUUACGAUGCUGCCUGGCGUCCUUGUGCAUCAGCCGCACAUGCCAGAUGUUUUAAAUGGUGAAAAAGACGCUGCUCAAUGGCCGACGGCGCAUGCGCGCUCACCAUGUUAUUAUCGGCGCUGGCGAAGUGACGCAGAAAAGUGUGACAUCGCUCAGCAUGUGUGAUGCCGUUACUUUAUAGACGCAUGUCAGUCUUCGUGUGCUUCAGUAAAUUGUUGCUGUUUGGUGCUCGUGGCGAUCGUUUUUGUUUGUCCAACUUAUUUUUCUCGUCCCCCUUCCCCCACAGGUGACAUCGUCGCCGCACCUUCUCUACGCUUCGUUCUCUUUCUCUUACCUGUUCCUCUAAGAAAUAGCACAAAAAAACAUUAGCUUCAGCUAAGGUGAGUCGAAGGAGGAGUGGGAGGGACACUUGAGCGUGUGCAAGGCUGUUCAUAGGUGAUGCCGACUACC